Nematostella vectensis (starlet sea anemone) is the source of this 2230-nucleotide RNA transcript. RefSeq lists it as uncharacterized. The transcript has a single exon. Lineage: Eukaryota; Metazoa; Cnidaria; Anthozoa; Actiniaria; Edwardsiidae. The record is from RefSeq and is a predicted model, not a curated record.
UUGGUGCGCCGUAAAUCAUUUUUAUAUACAGGGCACGGCGUUUAGACGGCCAUCGCUGGAGAUCCCACUAAAUUUGAAAAACCUUCGCUUUGCAUCGCCAACAAUGAAUCACCGAUUUUUACUGCUUUUGCUUGUGGUUGUAAUCUUAGCAGUACUGAUCGAAAUAACAGAAACUACUGCGAGUUCAAGCCGCCGAAAAACCAGCGAACGGCGCCGAAAAACAAGUACCCGUAGACGACGACGGGCUACGUCUAACACUGGGGGAAACACUGCUGUAAGGAUGCCAGUGACCAAAUUCACACCUAUAAAAGCUUCAAGUCGUUAUUCGCCUGUCAUCCACUCACAAACACGGGUCAGAAAUCGCGCUUUAAUCGGUGGCACGGCGCUCGUUGGCGGUUACCUGGCUUACAGAUACACUCUGGGUCGAGCACCAAUUUACCGAGGGCGCUACCCAAUGGACUAUAGCAACGUAGACGUCUAUAUACCACCCGAGAGAGCAUUCCGAUUGAACUACACCGAGGAGGUGUUGCUUGACUCAAAUGGUGAGAGAUGUGUGAAUUCCAAUGAGAGCGUGAAUCUCCUAAGCGGACUUAAGCGGGCUGCAUAAAUCAGAUGUAAACACUAGCGUUACGUACGAGGAUCAGAGAGGCCUUAAGCGAGUGGUGAAAUUCAGCGGAGAGAAUGCGUCCGUUAACAUUGACUUCGACGCAGUCGAUACCAGGUCUAUCGAAUUAAAGAAUAUGGUCUCGUACGAUAGCCCAGUCGCUAACAACACAAACUGCACCCAGAUUAUGAAGACCAUGAACGGAACUUUUAUCGAGAUGUAUCAAUAUAACCCCGAGGCCGGAAGCGGAAAUGUAAUCAUAAAUUCUGCUGUACUGGUGUGGGUUUUAAUGGGCCUUGUUGCCAUGGUGCUAAGGAACUAGAGGGAUUUGCUUUUCUUUAGCAUGAUUCUUGUGCUAUUAAUUAAGGAAAAAAAUAACAAGUCCAGAAACCUCUUCAAGGGCGUGUGAGAAGGAGGGGGGGGGGGGGGGGGGGUACAAUACAUUGCCUUUGUCCUUUUACCCUUGAUGGUCAACGCGAAUGCCCCCUCCACGCCUUUUAAACAACUCCGAAGGAAGAAUAUGUAAAUACAGCUUACUAAAAGCGAACAAGAUAGAGACAGAAAAAAAAGGAAAAUUACUCUCAUUCCAUUAUUUGGAAAAGUUCGACUUGGUAGCCUCAUUAAGGAUUCAUUUUACCAAAUCUUACACUGUUUUAUUUCUGUUUGUAGCGCGUUGGGUAUGUAAAUACGUAUUUGAGACCCGGAUUAGCCUACACCCUAUAAUUUGGCGUGGCGAUUUUACGAUUUUGAGACAAUGAAAUCAAGAAAAACAAGUGGAAUUAGAAUAUGCUUUAAUCAUCAAAACUGUAAAAAACUCUAACAAGUAAAAACAUGCAUGGGCCAAAAUUAGUUCUACAAAAAUCUAUAAAUGCAGUUCAUAACUGUCCAACUCAACCCCUAAAUGCACUGUAUGUACAAUAGCUGACUAAAUAGACAAGGUGUUUCCAUAAGCUAUAUGAAACGGUUAAUAUUUCACCCAAAGGCUUUUUAUAAACUCACUUGAUUUUCGCUCAUCACAAUUUUUGCGAUACUUCAUUUUCGCGUUCUGUUUUUAAAUCGCAAAAUUCUAAAAGUUAAAUUGACGCGAAAAUGAAAGGUAAUAAGGUAGGGAGUAUUGAAAAUAACUAACGAAAUAACUAACGAAAUAACCAAUUUUUAUAGAGAGGUUAGAUCAGAACGACCACUCAGAACGACUACCAACUCUUCGAACCCAUUGCAUAUUCUCUGUAUUUUGAAAGCAUCCUAUAGCAGCCAGGCGAUAGGGAAAGUGGGAUAAAACCUGUAAGCAAAAGUACUUAACUGUUAGUAGUAGAAUUUCUCUGAUAUUAGGCAGUAUCUGAAUAGAUAAUUCCAACAGAAAAGUAUUAUUACUAAUGAAGUUUUAACUCGCGAAUUGCUUUCUGUAUUUUCUUUUUUUAUGAAAUUUGCUAAAUAGAAAACGAUGGAAGCGACUGGUGCUUUAUCAGAAAAUAUCCUGUAAAACGGAUCCCCUGCGGUUCUUAAAUUAUAGGAAUGGUAAUUAAAGAGAGAGAUUAUUUUCUUGAGGAACCGGAGGACAUAUUGGUUAGAUACAUGUUCUUGGAAAUGACGCUAAAAGUAAUAAAAAGCAACAAGCGUGAAAAACCA